GAACUGCAUUUAAAACUAGUGAUCUAGAAUUUGGUAAAGGUUAGUAGAAUUUCCAGUGUAGAGGUGAAAUUCGUAGAUAUUGGAAAGAAUACCAGAAGCGAAGGCGACUAACUAGGCCAUUUUUGACGCUGAGAUACGAAAGCGUGGGUAGCAAACAGGAUUAGAUACCCUGGUAGUCCACGCAGUAAACGAUGAGUGCUAGUCGCUGGUCCAAUAGGAUCAGUGUCGAAGCUAACGCAUUAAGCACUCCGCCUGGGAAGUACGGUCGCAAGAUUAAAACUCAAAUAAAUUGACGGGGGCCCGCACAAGCGGUGGAGCAUGUGGUUUAAUUCGAAGCAACGCGAAGAACCUUACCAGACCUUGACAUGGUAUGUUUGAAUUACAGAAUCGUAAUUCUUCAGUUCGGCUGGCAUACACACAGGUGCUGCAUGGCUGUCGUCAGCUCGUGUCGUGAGAUGUUGGGUUAAGUCCCGCAACGAGCGCAACCCUCAUUUUUAGUUGCCAUCAGGUUAUGCUGGGCACUCUAGAAAAACUGCCGGUGAUAAGCUGGAGGAAGGCGGGGAUGACGUCAAGUCCUCAUGGCCCUUACGGUCUGGGCUACACACGUGCUACAAUGGUGGUGACAGAGGGCAGCAAUAUCGCAAGAUAAAGCUAAUCCCAAAAAACCAUCUCAGUUCGGGUUGGACUCUGCAACUCGAGUCCAUGAAGUUGGAAUCGCUAGUAAUCGUAGAUCAGCGUGCUACGGUGAAUACGUUCUCGGGCCUUGUACACACCGCCCGUCACGCCAUGGGAGUUGGUUUUACCUUAAGCCGGUGCGCUAACCGCAAGGAAGCAGCCGUCCACGGUAGGGUCAGCGACUGGGGCGAAGUCGUAACAAGGUAACCG
This 885-nucleotide ribosomal RNA is filed under the name uncultured bacterium. RNAcentral describes it as "bacterial SSU rRNA". It matches the Rfam family "Bacterial small subunit ribosomal RNA", at positions 618 to 1502 of the family's 1533-position model. The record is from RNAcentral.